This 468-nucleotide ribosomal RNA is filed under the name uncultured bacterium. RNAcentral's name for it is "partial 16S ribosomal RNA". It matches the Rfam family "Bacterial small subunit ribosomal RNA", at positions 28 to 507 of the family's 1533-position model. The record is from RNAcentral.
GAUGAACGCUGGCGGCGUGCUUAACACAUGCAAGUCGAACGGAAAGGCCGAAGCUUGCUUCGGUACUCGAGUGGCGAACGGGUGAGUAACACGUGGGUGAUCUGCCCUGUACUUCGGGAUAAGCUUGGGAAACUGGGUCUAAUACCGGAUAUGACGAUCUCUUGGAUGGGGUUGUGGAAAGCUUUUGCGGUAUGGGAUGAGCUCGCGGCCUAUCAGCUUGUUGGUGGGGUAAUGGCCUACCAAGGCGUCGACGGGUAGCCGGCCUGAGAGGGUGUACGGCCACAUUGGGACUGAGAUACGGCCCAGACUCCUACGGGAGGCAGUAGUGGGGAAUAUUGCACAAUGGGCGCAAGCCUGAUGCAGCGACGCCGCGUGGGGGAUGACGGCCUUCGGGUUGUAAACUCCUUUCGCAAUCGACGAAGCCUUUUGGUGACGGUAGGUUGAGAAGAAGCACCGGCUAACUACGUG